Long non-coding RNA from Helianthus annuus (common sunflower), 1692 nucleotides. RefSeq lists it as uncharacterized. The record is from RefSeq and is a predicted model, not a curated record. The transcript has 2 exons. NCBI's taxonomy places the organism in Eukaryota, Viridiplantae, Streptophyta, Magnoliopsida, Asterales, Asteraceae.
AAAUAAUGUUUAAGACACGAAUUAAUUUAAUUAGGAUUUUGUAAUGCCUAGGAGCGCCUACACGACUUUACAGUACGCGAAUGAUAAUCUGCAAAGAAACUGCGUAACGCUAAACGAUAACGAACUGAUGUCGUACAAAAUACUGACCUCACCGACAAAUACGAAUUUUAUACGUAUAUUUUAUACCUAUGAGUUUGGUUUUGCGAAUUUAUAGCGCUAUCGAAUGUCACAAAGCGAAAACAUGAACGAAGAUGCGGAAACAGUAACGCGCAGACAAUCAACGAUGAAACGGAAGCACCGGACAAGAAUUUUUGUCGCAAUAAUAAUAUAUUAUGAUAUAUUGAACGUCGUUUUCAAAUUUUAAUAUCCGUAGUCGAAACCGGAUUGAAAAACGAAUUAAAGCGGCAACGACACAAUUUUACGCGACUUUUAGCGUAAGCGACGAACGAGAGCGUCAAAUGCGACAAUCGACACUGUUUUGCGUCUUCUUAUUUUAAAACAAUAAUUUACGACAUUUUUACGACGUUCGGGUUUUGAUAACGGGUCUCGUAGGAAUUACGGGUCACUUAAAACACGCGAUUGGGCUUGCGGGCCUUGGGCCCAAGCCCAAAGCCCACUAACUAACCCUAGUAUAUAUUUGUAGUGAUGAAGCUUAUUGACAAUUGAACCCUAAAAAUCACACAAGCACACACAUCUGCUUUUCCUUUUCCUUCUCAAACCCUCUCUUCCAUAAGACCUCCCUUUCUCUCAAAUAUGUAUACAUAACAAAAGCCAAACACCCUCUCGUCUUCUACCAGCAACCUUUUAUCCCCUUCCUUUGUUAAUACUCAUUCACCAAACAAACAAAACCCCUCAUCUAUCAAAGGAACAGGCCAACCACGACUGUGGAGGCGGUGUACGGCGGUGGUGGAUCCCCACAAGCACGACAUCAGCGGCAACCACCCCCCCCCUGUUACAGAAUCAACGGCCGGCCACCAUCCUUGGGUGGUGGCGCAUGGCGGCGGCGCGACGACAAGGUCCGAGAGGCAGAGAGAGAAAGAACGAGAGGAGGGAGAGAACGAAGGGAGCCGACUGUUGACCUUUCCGUUGACCGGAAUCGGGCGGCGACGAGCGACGAAUUCCGGUUCCACGUGAUAAUUAUUUAGAUGGAUACAUUUUCACGUUCCAAAGCGUGUUCGGUCAGUUUUGGGUGAUGACUUUGGCGGUGGUUGUAGCUCAAACGGGUCACGUGGGUGUGGGUUGGACGGAUCCACGGUUACGUGAUAGAUCUUAGUGGUUUUGAUGCUUUCGGUUCCCGGUCAACUGAGUCAACGCAAUGAGUUGACAGCUCAAACCUGGUCAACGCUAGUCAAACAUGGUUUUGGGUCAGUUUCGCAUUGCAAGAAAACCAAGUUGCUCGGAUUUUAUUUUGGUUCGGUUCGAGAUCGGUCAAACGUGGUCAAACAUCAACUCAGUUCGGGUUAACGCCGGUCAACAACAGUCAACUGCAGACCCGGUAAAGUUUAUUGGCGCGGAUUUUUCGUCUUAUCAUUUAUAUAGUUUAUAUCUCUACGCGAACCGAGCUCGAACCUUUAGCGAUUACAUAACGUUUAUGCAUUAUUGAUUCUUUAGAGUUUGAUAUAUUUUGACUAAAACUAUAUAUCGUUAUUACAUUGGUUUGAAAUAUUAUUUGAUUGUUGAGUUUUGACAAAA